AAUCUAAACUGCUGCAGCCUGCUCUGUGCUGCCAUUUCUAACAGGCCAUCAUUUGUGUCUUUUAAACCUUAGAUCUGUGCAGGUUUGCUUGAUAACAGUAUAAGAUAUUUGUUGGCUUGUUUAUGGAAAGUAAAGUGGAAUUAUAUGUAGAAGUCGGUAGCCUUUUUGUUUGGUUUGCUUGUUUCUAGGUCAGUGUGGUGCUCAGGGAAGGUUUGAGAUUUUCUUUUGUGUUAGGUAAGUGUAUUUGUUGUUUUGGCUUUUUUGAUCAUCUCUGAAGCUUAUUAAAACAGCUGCUUCAAAGGUAAUUCAACUUGUACUGCUGGAAAGAUUGAGGGUCACAUCAUUACACAGCGCUGUGUGUACUGGAAGCUGUUUGGUGAGUAAUGUGGACUGCAGUCCUGUGUGAACAAUAAGCAGUUUUAUUGGUUUGUGGGCACGAGUUUACACUGUACACACCUGCUCCACUAAGUCACUUGGUGCCUCUUUGCUCUCAAGUAAGCACCGAAGUUUCUCCCCUUCCUCCUUCACGUCUGUUGAGUCAUGAAGGUGUCCUCUUGUGUAGGAAGUAACUACAUGCCAUGAGAAACACUUGUUACUUAUUUCGGCUGUAUUUUUGUCUCUUUAAAGCCUGCAGACCCAAACAGUUAAUCUGAACGCUAUAGGUAGAGCAUUUCAACAUUGGCUAACAGAUUUUGUCUGUGUCUUAAGAAAAACUGUAGCCUAGCUUGUGUGCCAGUCUUCUCAGCAGUUUCUUAUCAAAUGAGCAGAGCUGGGGCCUCAUGUAUCAACACUUGCGUGGAACUCAUACCAGAAACGAGCGCACGCAAGGUCCGUCACGCUGAAAAAAAUCCGUAUGUAUCAAUGUGUGCGGGCGCCGAAAUCCACGUGUGUUUUUUUGAUAAAUCCCAAUCAGCGUGGAAUUGAGCGCAGAUGUCGGAGCGGGGAUCAACGAGCGGCUGGACCGGCUCGUAAAUGUCCUCGAGCGUCUGGUGGAGAAAAUAAAUUAAUUUGGCUCAUUGAACUGUGUAUUCACUUCUUACCCAUUCACACUGUGGCGAUGAGAUUCUCCCGCGCGAGGACGGCGGCCCGGCAGGGAUCAGCUCGCAUCCCUCCGUCUGCUGCUGGUUCCUCAUGUGGGGCGACGUGCUGCUCGGCCACGGGGAUGUGGUGCACGCUUGUCACAUAGUGAGUCACCAAACACCGCCACACAGCGUCGCCAAAGUGCGAAUCACAGUCAACGCAAGUGUCUGCUCAACGCCAAUUUCUACACCACCUCCUGACUUUGCGUUGAUUAGCGCUGGAACCGACGCUCGUUUCGCGAUGAUAAAUCUGGACGUGUGCGCCGAUUUUGGCGCACGCAAGGUUUUCUUGCGCCGCAAGCGUUGAUACAUGAGGCCCCUGAUCUGGCAGCUUGUACACUUCAUAGCAACUUGUAACUCAUAUAACCUCAUUUGAAGACUUCAGACUAGACUCGGAAAAGUAGAGAGGAGGAUCGUGGAACAUGUAUGUGCAGUAGCGGAUUGCAACGUUUGUAAGAAAGCUAAUUAUGAUAUUAGCUUUCAUAUUCCCUCUAAAAUAGGGUGACUAUAUUCUGACUUUCCAAAAAGAGGACACAACUACACGGGGGCAGAGUCACGGAGUCGCACAAAGUUAAUUUUAGGAGUUUUUCGGGUCAGGUUGCGUGUCUUUUAUGCGCUUUUAACUCAGUAAGUCUACAUGACACAAAAUCGAAACUUGUGUAAAAAAACGGACAUUUGAAGGCUUUUAUAAACUCCCCUGGACAAACCCGGACAGCCCCUGAAAAAGAGGACAUGUCUGGGUAAAAGAGGCUGUAUGGUCAACCCACCUAAAAACAUUAGUGUCCAAGAGCUGAGUAACUCCUGUUACCUGCUGCUUCUGCUGCACCUUAGGCUAGGCUACUAGCUAGCAUGAAGAGGAGCAUGAGGAGGAGUGUGCAGAGCAGCAAUGUCUUUACCCACAACUCAGAGGCAAAUUGCUAAUGAGCUACUGGAGCUCAGUCUUCUCAGCAGUUUCUUAAAACUGACACAGGUAACGUGAUUUUGGCCAAAAACCUCAUGAAAACGUCCUGCUGUUUGGGUCUGAUCACAGUGAUUUGAAUGCAGAAAUACUCAAAUGCAACUUUGCACUUACUAGUUUUCUCAUGAUAUGUCCUCCAGCAUCAGAAAAUUCCAUAUGAACAUGUAGACAACAAGAAAAACAUGAUUUUCAUCGGUGUGGGUCUUUAAAGAUUACUAGAAUAUUCCCUUAACUUUGCUCCAAUGAGUCAAUUGGUUAGAUGGGGAUUGUCUUACUGAUCUGAAUCUUCUUUGUUAUCAAUGAAAAUGUUUAUGGAUUCACUUUGACUUAUCCUAUUAUUUGUCACCUAUCAUGAUCAGCUCUGCAGUUCAUCUGUUUCAUAAAAAUAUCAGAGGUUUAUAAGAGGCUUCUUUUGACUCUGCUGAGUUGUGUCGUCCAGCAGCUGACGCAGUUAUUGAGAAAAGAACUAGCAAGAAAAAGAUUGAUUCCCUCAUACAAUAAACUUCAAAAUAUCGACUGCAUCCAAAGAUGACGUGGUUAUCUGAUUCUGAGGGUCCAUGAAUUUAUCAACUACAGUUCAUCAAACACAACACCAGGGAAGCGCUCGCUUCUCCACCAAUUUGUCCUCUAGGGAUUGUUGUUCAUAUGGAGUGCAUCCUGAUGUGUAUAUUACCAUCUCUUCCAUACAGCGCCCACUCACCGCAGCUAUCGAUUUGAAGCGAUGAUUUACUGCUUGGAAAAAUCAUUGUGUGAAAAUCCCUGCAUCAGUAUGCACAAUACGAUACAAUUUGUACUCAACUGGAUGUUGGUCACACUGAGUGGGAGUUACAUCUUUUAUAUCACAGCCUACUGUACAUAUACACAUGGAAACGUCUCAUUUCUUUUAUUUAGUUUAAUGAAGGACUUUAAAGUCUUUUUUCACAAUGUUUGAUUAAGUUUUUAGUGGUAUGACAAUUUUAUUUGCUUCCUUGUUUCCCAGCUCACGAACCUCUAAAAAAAGAGGGCGAUCAUAUUUUGAAUACUGGAAACCAAGACAAAAACCAUGACUCAGCCCAGCUUUGAGGUACUCUAUAGUUUUAGUUUUCUUCUUCAUCCUAUUGGCCCAAAGAAAAACAAUGAAAAUUAGGACAUUUUCAUAACUUUGUAAAAAAAAACAACCCCACUAUGAAACGGGGAGAAAUCUGGUAUAGGAACUUGGUUGGUCUAAAAGAGGUCUAAUAGACAACCAAAUGUAGCCUAGAUGACUGGUCUAAAAUCAGGCUACCACAGGUCUAAAAAUGUAAGUUUUUUGGACGUCUAAAUUUGGACCAAGUUUAGACUAACCAGCUGACAUAGGACUAACAGCCUACUGAGCAUUUUUUGCUCAAUGGCUAUCAUAAUUGUUUUGGUGAAGUACUUGGAGAUCAGUCAUGCAACUCACAGUUGCUUUUUUGAAAUAAAUAUUUAUCUAAUAAUGGGUUAAAGUGCAACGUCUAUAUUCCGUCUGAAAAUCUAGACAGUUGAAAUUAGGUCUAAAAAAAAUAACCAGACGUCUACUAGCCGUCUUUUGCUCAGUGGGUAGGUUAAUAAUGAAUUCAACUUUGUCCACACUGAGAUGUCUGCAGUUUUCAUUUGAUCAAUGCAAAUUUCCCUACUCUCUUUAGUGCCGUUGUGUGCGAAUAGUUAAUUAUGCCUCUGUUUCCGCUAGGUGGGGCACAGUCCAUAUGGCGAACGGUUGCGUGUGUGUAGCGCACACUCAAGUUUCAGCAGUGGGGCCUGAAGUUCAGGUUCCCCAGAGUGCUUCUCAUUGGCUGACCAGAAGAAAGAGUGGGAACUUGCACCGGUCUCGCUAACUCGGCGACCAACAUAAGGCAACAUGGCGAUGUGAACUCAUCCAUGGACUGUUGGAUUUUAACAGCAAGGUCACAGAGAAGAUUGUGCACAUGGAGGACUGCAGAGCGUCAUUCCUCUUCAAAAAAUGAUCAACAUCGGUGAGUCCAUUAUUCUAUGUGGAAUUUACGUGUUUGAAUGAAAGUGGAAUUUAUGCUAAUUUUCUGUUUGUAUUACUGUAAUGUUGUUUCAAUCUUGAGUAUUUGAUAUUGUGAGGCCUUGAACGCUGCCAUUUGAUGGCGCUAUUGGUAUGAUAAUAUUUGUCGCCAGAUUGACAUUGUUUGUGUGAUGGUAUAAUUCAGCAGCAGUUUUGUCGUCAAAGGUGUUGUCGUCGUUUUUGUCGUCGUUUUUGUAGUGAGGGUAUGAGAGUAAUAUCUGGUGCUUCUGGACUGUAUUAUGAGAUUUUCCUGCAUGGCCCCACUAGAAUUUCCAGACUAAAAUCACCACCGCUGUAUAGAAAGCCUCAAUUAAUUCCUCGCCAAGCUCGUUUAAUCAAGACACUAUAUAAUGACACUACAAGGGCUUGAUUAAUGUUGAACCAGAGCAAUAUUCACUUCCAUAAAAGCUUCUUUACGUGUUGCUCAGUAUACCAGUCGGGUAACUGAUUAUUGUUAUUAUACUAAAUGUUCAUAGCAGCAGGAGAGCAUUGUUCCACACUUGGACCUCAUCAGUUCUCGCAGAUUUAAUUUACCUGCAACAUUAUAUGAAGUGAUGGGUAAUAUCUCAAACUCCCCUGACCAGAGCCUGUGGGUAGAAGCUUGAGUACAAUGAAUUAAUAUUUUAAUCCAAUUUUUUCUUUAUAAUUCACAGUAGAGGUUUAGAGUGUGUACAGUUUUGGCUCUGCCUCAUACAUCUAAAUGAAUUCAAAAACUUGCCUUGCCUUUGUAUCCACUUUUGAUACUCUUAUUAUUAUUUUGAAUCACUAUCACAGAAAAUAUGACAAAAAGCAAGAGUAUGUUCCUCAAUUUACCAAUUAUUUUUAAUCUAUCAUAAUGUUUAUCAGCUUACACAAGUCACUUCACACUGUUGCACUCAUACCUGUCCUUCCUGAUACACCAGCCAGGGCCGAAGUAUAUAACAAGAGGAGGAAAUAUAAGCAACUUAGUAUUUGGAAAAUACAAAGAUAUAUAGUAUUUCAAGUGUGGUGAGUGAAUGAUUGUGAAUUAAUUAUAUAAACUCAACUCCUAUUAUUACCUUUAUAAUUCCCUCUGUCUCUUUGACUAGCAUUGUCAGUGGUCUUUACAAUCUUAUUCACGACUUAAUCUUUCUUAUCCUUCAUUGUUAGCUGUACUAUAUACUUAUGUUAUCUCUUUUUAUUACUUACCUAGUUUGUAUAUUUUCCUAUAAACAAAUUGGGUAAAUGUAUUUAUGAUACUGAAGGUUUACUUGAAAUAUGACAAAAAAUGCACAUGCAAAGAUGAUAUCGUGAUUUUGUAUUGACUUGUGAUUUUUAAAUCAGUUUUUUCAACAGUCAAGCAGCUUCAGGUUAUAACAUCACCCUCUAGUGGUUGGAGGUUUAAACGUAACACAAAAUGAGCUCCAAAUGAUUGCAUCAAAAUUUAUGUAAAAAAGAAACGACUUUUUUUGAGAAUUUUUACACUCUCAUAAUACAGUAGACCAGGAUAUUCAUGUGCACAGAUCCUUUCUUGUCUAAUAUGAAUGUAAGAAAGUGCAGUGUAAGCUGUUUUGGGCACUUGGGUUGAACUCCUCUAACAUACUCUAUGUUUAAUCUUAGUACUCUGUAUAUUUACACAGCUUGGGAACCACUGAACAGAACCUGUGGAAACAUCCGAGAUGAUAACUAAACUAGGACUGAAACGAUUCCUCAAAUACCUUGAUUACAAAUAAUGAUUGAGGAAAUUUCUCUGCCUCGAGUACUCGUCCAUAAGCUCAAAUUGUCACUGUUUCGCACAGAUUCUUUUGAAGGUGACACAAUGCGCUUACGUCACCAUGGCAGAAGGAGGUGUAAGCGCUGUUUAGGUUUUGCGGAGCAGAAAAAAUAAAUGAUGAGAGGGGCUUUUCUUUCAGUGUUGCCAACCUAGUGACUUUCCUUACUGAGGAGUUGGCAACACUGUUUUCUUCUGCAGAGCUCCAGUAGCACGUUAGCACUUAGCCUCUGAGUCGUUAGCAGAGACAGUGCUGCUCUGCACACUUCUCUUCACGCUAGCUUGUAGCCUAACAUUGCAGGUGUCAUAGCAGAAGCAGGUAACAUAGGAGGUAUUCAGCUCUUAGACACUAAUGUCUUUAGGGACAUGAUGAAAGCUAAUAUGUAAUUGAAAGCUAAUACAUAAUUAGCUUUUUUAUGAGCAUUGCAAUCCACUAACGUACACGCUUGUUCCGCGAUUGUCCUCUAUUUCUCAGAGUCUGACCUUCAUUGCGGGGCUAUAGGAAAUCUUUCUUUAUGUGGGUCUGCUGAUUGGGUCCAAUUACUCAAGUAAUCGAUUGAAUAUUCGGUAGAAUACUCGAUUACUAAAAUAUUCGAUAACUGCAGCUCUAAACUAAACAUCUUUGAGAUAUAAAGGUCUCUGCUGAAAAACAGAUUUGUAUAUUAGUCACUGGUUCUUGUUGCUGCUUCUUUGUUAUUCUGCUCACAGUUACACUCCAAAAUACUCCACAUUAGAAGCUCAAAAUGACUUUGAGAAGCCAAUCAGUAAAAAGGUCCUUUGCUUUUGUUGAAAAUAAAAUUGCAGGAAGAAAAAUACUCAAACCUCUCAAGUUUGAAUGAUUUUAUGUAUGCAGCCCGCAUGAAACCAUAUCUUUCAUAUGUAUUGCAUCUCCAUUGUGUGGGGUUUCCAUUCGCUUGAGCUUUUAUCUAGAAUUGGAUGUUUGCCAGUGAAUCCUGAAUCAGACUGAAUCAUAGCCCUUUGCACUGGUGAAAAAUGACUGUGUAAUGAAAGCAAUGGGAGCCGCAGAGAGAUCGAGAAAAACCAACGGGGGUCAGAAAUAAAGUAGUGAAGAGUGGGCUGAAGCACUGAAAGCCUGAGUGUUUGUACAGACCCUCUCUCUAUAAGUGCCGUUCCGCCUCCAAACAAGUGAAUCCCCAGCAAGAACCUAUCAGCUCUGUUUGUUGUCAUGCAGCUGAAUUUAAAUAUACAGUAAAAGGGGUGCAAAACGUACAAACAACUCAUCUCUUGUGUUUAAUUUCAACCGAGUUUCUCACUAGGAAGCCUCCAAUGUUAUGCCUCUUUUUUUUUUGAUUACCUUUCUUUUCAGAAGUCUUUACCCAAGAGCCUUUGUGUGAGUUAACAGUCUGCAGUUUAGCACAGAUGAUGGGUCUCCCCUGUCUUCCCUUUUAAAGUGGCAGAGAAGCAGUGGGAAGGAGCCGAGCUCUGCUCCAACAGGCGUGAUGCUAACUGAGGUGUAAUUAGAGGAAUGUGACUGCAUGCCUCACAAGCUAGACUAAUUAGCAAAGCUUUCCUGUUCUCAUUCCAGCAGGACCCCACAUGAAGCAAACAAAAAUAUGCUAAACUUGCUGAAGGGUAAACUGAUGUAAAUGUUGUACAUUCGCAGUCUGUCUGUGUCGUCCUCUGGAGAGAAAAGAACCAACAACACUGAUUAGAUACCAUUUUAGCAUUAAAAUAACAUCAUGACACACAACUUAUGCAAAGUAAUGAAUUUAUAUAACAAGAAUUCAGAAUGGUGUUGUGGCAUCACUGCCACACUGUAUAAUUAAAAGUUUUCAAAGCUUCAAGUCAAAAGUUUGAAAGUUUGACAAACUUCCUGAACUUAUAGACAAGCUCUACACUGUUAGCAUCUGACUGAACACACUUGGUAGGGAUGUACAAUAUUAUCAGUACUGCACCAAUAUUUGGCGUUAAUAGCAUAAAAACCAUAGACUGUGUAUACUAUGGACAUCUUGGUUCCGCCUUCCGCCAGUAUAUUGAUUUGAAGCCGUAAAGCUCUCAGUAAUUUUGCGUUUUUUUCUCCACUUCCUGAAACCAACAUUGGGCGGUAACGUUGUACGCACACCAUCACUUGCGCACUAGCGUUGCGCACAUUCGGCGGGAGAGUCGCUGAGAGUUGCUAACCCUAACCCAAACCCAACCCUAACCCAUAGGCUGUAUCAAGUGUCAGUCAUAGAAAACAUGAACCCCCAAAUAACUUUAAAAAAUGAAGCUGUACAGAAAAAAGAGGACUUGAGCACAAACCAGUCGUGCAAUAACUAUAUGUCAACAUCGCAAGCAGGGGGCGAAAAAAAAAUUAUGUUCUGCAGCCCGUCACCAGAGGGUGCUGUUCCCAGAGUUACUUCACCCAGUGAGGAGGCAGCACAGUCCAUUCUAUAUCCAGUCUAUGAUAAAAACUUAAUGAC
Xyrichtys novacula (pearly razorfish) is the source of this 8215-nucleotide non-coding RNA. The record is from the annotation of a GenBank genome assembly. Lineage: Eukaryota; Metazoa; Chordata; Actinopteri; Labriformes; Labridae.